GAUGAACGCUAGCGACAGGCUUAACACAUGCAAGUCGAGGGGCAGCGGGGGAUAAGCUUGCUUUUCCUGCCGGCGACCGGCGCACGGGUGAGUAACACGUAUGCAACCUGCCCCUGUCAGAGGGAUAAUCCGGAGAAAUCCGGUCUAAUAUCGCAUAAAGCGUUUGCGGGGCAUCCUGCGAGCGCCAAAGGAGUAAUCCGGACAGGGAUGGGCAUGCGGCGCAUUAGCUAGUUGGGGGGGGUAACGGCCCACCAAGGCGACGAUGCGUAGGGGUUCUGAGAGGAAGGUCCCCCACAUUGGUACUGAGACACGGACCAAACUCCUACGGGAGGCAGCAGUGAGGAAUAUUGGUCAAUGGGCGGAAGCCUGAACCAGCCAAGUCGCGUGAGGGAAGACGGCCCUAAGGGUUGUAAACCUCUUUUGCCGGGGAGCAAAAGCGCCGUGCGCGGUGCUAUGAGAGUACCCGGAG
Molecule: ribosomal RNA, 469 nt
Filed under: uncultured bacterium
Lineage: Bacteria
Description: bacterial SSU rRNA
Rfam family: Bacterial small subunit ribosomal RNA
Source: RNAcentral